UACGUAGGGUGCGAGCGUUGUCCGGAAUUAUUGGGCGUAAAGGGCUCGUAGGCGGUUUGUCGCGUCGGAUGUGAAAAUCCAGGGCUCAACCCUGGACCUGCAUUCGAUACGGGCAGACUAGAGUUCGGUAGGGGAGACUGGAAUUCCUGGUGUAGCGGUGAAAUGCGCAGAUAUCAGGAGGAACACCGGUGGCGAAGGCGGGUCUCUGGGCCGAAACUGACGCUGAGGAGCGAAAGCGUGGGGAGCAAACAGG
Molecule: ribosomal RNA, 253 nt
Filed under: uncultured bacterium
Lineage: Bacteria
Description: partial 16S ribosomal RNA
Rfam family: Bacterial small subunit ribosomal RNA
Source: RNAcentral